This 1017-nucleotide long non-coding RNA is filed under the name Oryctolagus cuniculus (rabbit). RNAcentral describes it as "lncRNA (ENSOCUG00000029890.1)". The record is from RNAcentral. Lineage: Eukaryota; Metazoa; Chordata; Mammalia; Lagomorpha; Leporidae.
AAGUUACAGUUGCAGAAGAUACUGAGAAAUGAUUAUCUAAGUAGGAGGGGUCAUUGUGGGAAGCACACGGUGGUUUCUAUGUAGUGUAAUUACCUAAAUGAAGGCCUGUGUCGUUGGGUGUAUAUUUUGUAUAUAAUUAAUUACAUCUUUUUACCUUCAGACAUCUUCUAUCAUCUUAAUGAUGCUUAAGAAAUAUAUACCUGAGUAAUAAAUUAAAUGGCACAGUUAAUGUAAUUUCAAAGCAUACGCAGUUCUAAAGGGAUAUUUUUAUAUUGACAGCACCUUGCUCUUACAACUGAAUGCUGCUUGGUCUUUCUGAGGGCAAGUCCCCUUUCUGAGCACCAAAGCUAUCUCUGGUAAACAGUAGGAUAAGAUUUUUAAGGUUAUAAAAAUUAUAAAUACCUUUAAAUUAUUUUUGGUUACUUAAUCAUUUAUUUUUAUCAUUAUAGAUUUAUAAAUAUGUGUUUUAUCUUUGGAGUUAUAUAUAUUCCAUUACUAUCAAUAUUAAUUACAUUGCUCCAAUUGUCUUUGCUUUGGCCACUGGAGAUCCUUUGGGUCAUCUUCUUUAUUUUUAUUACCUAGAAAAAUUUUAUUUAUUUGAGAAUAUACAAACAUUAGUUAUGUGUAACUACUCGAAUGUAAAUAUAUCUGUCUAUAUUUAUAUGAGAGAACUUCAAAAAACUGGAAAAUUGAAUUAAAAGAUAAAUUUAGGGGCAGGCACUGGGUUAGGUGGUUCCAUCACUGCUUGGGAUGCCUGCACCCCAUUUUGGAGGGCUUGGGUUCAAGUUCCAGCUCCCCUUCCAAGUCCAGCUUCCUGUGAAUAUAGCCCCUGAGAGGCAGUAGGUGAUGCGUCAAGUAGUUGGAACCCUACCACAUACGCGAGUUCCCUAUUCAUGACUUCACCCUGGCCCAGUACAAGCUGUUGUAGGCAUUUUGUGAAUGAACCAACAGUUGGAAGUUGCUCACUCUCUAUGUCUUUCAAAUAAAUUAAAAUAAAUAAAUAAAAUAAAUUUAAAA